Molecule: transfer RNA, 77 nt
Filed under: Clostridium sp.
Lineage: Bacteria; Bacillati; Bacillota; Clostridia; Eubacteriales; Clostridiaceae
Also listed under: 5 other names
Description: tRNA-Ile
Rfam family: tRNA
About the family: Transfer RNA (tRNA) molecules are approximately 80 nucleotides in length. Their secondary structure includes four short double-helical elements and three loops (D, anti-codon, and T loops).
Source: RNAcentral
GGACCCUUAGCUCAGUUGGUUAGAGCAUCCGGCUCAUAACCGGGCGGUCAUAGGUUCAAGUCCUAUAGGGUCCACCA